Molecule: RNA transcript, 1411 nt
Organism: Ailuropoda melanoleuca (giant panda)
Lineage: Eukaryota; Metazoa; Chordata; Mammalia; Carnivora; Ursidae
Gene name: CMRF35-like molecule 7
Exons: 5
Source: RefSeq, a predicted model, not a curated record
UGAGGCAAAGUUAUCAGGGACAGACCCAGGGGAUGCUUCGGAGAGGCGCCAGUGCAAGGAGAGGGCACGUCUCAUCCCUAAGACCAUACACUCCCAAAAUGACCCUGCUUUUCUCCUAAUUUUAAAGUUAGGAAGUAACAAAAGAAAAAAAUUAAGGGAAGUAGAUGAGAGAAACUAAAAAAACAUUAAUUUAAAGAAAGUGAAGGCAGGUUGCCUCUGAGCUCAGUUCCAGCCCCGGAGGGCAACGGGCAUCAGCUGAGCACCAGGGAGACAACCCAGGCAGCAGGACAUGUGGCUGCUCCCGGUUCUGUUCCUUCUCAUCGUCCAAGCUUGGGCUGCCCGAGUCUCUGCUCUGGACGAGCCAAAGACCAGACCAUCCUCCAGUGUCAUAAGAACAACAAUGGAGACAGGGACAAAGAGCUCUGGUGGCACCAGGAGCGACCCAGUUGGCUGCAGAAUGGUAGACACCAUAGAAGAGACACUGUUUGAUUCAAGCCUUGAGGAAUGAAUAGAAAGUCUUGAUUCCUACAAGCAGAGAAAAGAGAACAUUCCAGACAGAGGGAACAGCUUGUGUAAAGGCCACUUCUCCAUCUGCCAGGAGGGGCUGGUGAGAGGCACGGAGGGGGGGACACUGACAGCGUACUGUGAGUAUACCCCGGGAUGGGAAUCCUACAAGAAGUGGUGGUGCCGCGGGAAGAACUGGAUUUCCUGCAGAAUCCUUGUAAAAACCAACGGGACAGACGAACUGGUGAAGAAGGACCGAGCGUCCAUCCAGGACAAUAGCAACCGACGCACAUUCACCAUGAUCUUGGAGAAACUCCGUCGAGAUGACGCAGACACCUACUGGUGUGGGAUUGAGAGAACCGGCGUUGACCCGGUGUACAAAUUAUCUGUGAUUGUCGACCCAGCACCAGUUCUAGCAGGCUCUCCCAAGCCUGUGCCAGGACCCACACCAGCCAGCUGGGAUUCCUCAUUUCCACUUACCCAGGGCAUCACCAGUAACCAGCCCGUGACUCUGAUCAACCCCAUCAGCAGGUCAGGAGCCCUGGCCUCCAUGGUAGCAGCCAAGAAGCCUCCUGCGUGGAUCGUCCUGGUGCCUCUUUUCCUUGUGACCCUGCAGUGGCUCUGCCGAGGAUAACGGACUAUCACAGCGUUCAGGACUCUGGCCAAGGAUGGGUUUUAAAAUCCCAGACCUACCAGUAACUAUGGAACCAGAAUUAAACCAAAAAGCUUCCAAGUGUUGCACGUGGUCAGAGACCCUGAUGGGCCAGAUGUUCCAGCUGCCGCUCUGUCCGUGUCUCCUGGAGGAAGAAUCACCUGAAUGUAAGACAGAAGACAAGGUUGGACCAUCCCCGACCCGCAUCCCAUCUGUUUGCUCCGCACAUUUCCUAUUAAAUCUAUGGCUUUCCUG